RNAcentral lists this small RNA (108 nucleotides) under Marmota monax (woodchuck). The record is from RNAcentral. Lineage: Eukaryota; Metazoa; Chordata; Mammalia; Rodentia; Sciuridae.
GCCGGGUGAGGUAGUGCAUGCCUGUAAUCCCAGCUACCUGGGAGGCUAAGGGAGGAGGAGGAUCACUUUGAAGGCAGCCUGGGCAAUUGAGUGAGACCCUGUCUCCAA